Molecule: ribosomal RNA, 1350 nt
Filed under: Mucilaginibacter gossypii
Lineage: Bacteria; Pseudomonadati; Bacteroidota; Sphingobacteriia; Sphingobacteriales; Sphingobacteriaceae
Description: bacterial SSU rRNA
Rfam family: Bacterial small subunit ribosomal RNA
Source: RNAcentral
AAAAUUCGGCAGCUAUACAUGCAGUCGGACGGGAUUUGGGAGCUUGCUCCUAAUGAGAGUGGCGCACGGGUGCGUAACACGUAUGUAACCUACCUUGAUCAGGGGGAUAGCCUCUCGAAAGAGAGAUUAAGACCGCAUAACAUUAUGAUAUGGCAUCGUAUUAUAAUCAAAUAUUUAUAGGAUCAAGAUGGGCAUGCGCAACAUUAGCUAGUUGGUGUGGUAACGGCAUACCAAGGCGACGAUGUUUAGGGGAUCUGAGAGGAUGACCCCCCCACUGACGACGACAGGAUGACGGAAGUCUGACGCCAUGCCGCGUGCAGGAAGACGCCUACGGGUUGUAAACUGCUUUUGCAGGGGAAUAAACCCCGGUUCGUGAACCGGGUUGAAUGUACCUUGAGAAUAAGGAUCGGCUAACUCCGUGCCAGCAGCCGCGGUAAUACGGAGGAUCCAAGCGUUAUCCGGAUUUAUUGGGUUUAAAGGGUGCGUAGGCGGCUUUUUAAGUCAGGGGUGAAAGACGGUAGCUCAACUAUCGCAGUGCCCUUGAUACUGAAGAGCUUGAAUGUACUUGAGGUAGGCGGAAUGUGACAAGUAGCGGUGAAAUGCAUAGAUAUGUCACAGAACACCAAUUGCGAAGGCAGCUUACUAAAGUAUGAUUGACGCUGAGGCACGAAAGCGUGGGGAUCAAACAGGAUUAGAUACCCUGGUAGUCCACGCCCUAAACGAUGAACACUCGAUGUUGGCGAUAUACGGUCAGCGUCUAAGCGAAAGCGUUAAGUGUUCCACCUGGGGAGUACGCCCGCAAGGGUGAAACUCAAAGGAAUUGACGGGGGCCCGCACAAGCGGAGGAGCAUGUGGUUUAAUUCGAUGAUACGCGAGGAACCUUACCCGGGCUUGAAAGUUAGUGAAUGUGACAGAGACGUCACAGUUCUUCGGAACACGAAACUAGGUGCUGCAUGGCUGUCGUCAGCUCGUGCCGUGAGGUGUUGGGUUAAGUCCCGCAACGAGCGCAACCCCUAUGUUUAGUGCCAGCAUUUAAGGGGAAACAGACUGCCAAAUAGAGAGGAGGAGGGGACGACGUCAAGUCAUCAUGGCCUUGUUCCGGGGCCACGUGCUACAAUGGAUGGUACAGAGGGCAGCUACCUGGCAACAGGAUGCCAAUCUCAUAAAGCCAUUCACAGUUCGGAUCGGGGUCUGCAACUCGACCCCGUGAAGUUGGAUUCGCUAGUAAUCGCGUAUCAGCAAUGACGCGGUGAAUACGUUCCCGGGCCUUGUACACACCGCCCGUCAAGCCAUGGAAGCUGGAAGUGCCUGAAGUGCGUAACCGCAAGGAGCGUCCUACGGUAACUCAGC